Molecule: non-coding RNA, 31 nt
Filed under: Mus musculus (house mouse)
Lineage: Eukaryota; Metazoa; Chordata; Mammalia; Rodentia; Muridae
Source: RNAcentral
UACGAGAAGCUUCUAAGGAGAGUCAGUUGUU